CGGCGGACGGGUGAGUAACACGUGGAUAACCUACCUAUAAGACUGGGAUAACUUCGGGAAACCGGAGCUAAUACCGGAUAACAUGUUGAACCGCAUGGUUCAACAGUGAAAGGCGGCUUUGCUGUCACUUAUAGAUGGAUCCGCGCCGUAUUAGCUAGUUGGUAAGGUAACGGCUUACCAAGGCAACGAUACGUAGCCGACCUGAGAGGGUGAUCGGCCACACUGGAACUGAGACACGGUCCAG
This 244-nucleotide ribosomal RNA is filed under the name uncultured Staphylococcus sp. RNAcentral describes it as "partial 16S ribosomal RNA". It matches the Rfam family "Bacterial small subunit ribosomal RNA", at positions 96 to 334 of the family's 1533-position model. Lineage: Bacteria; Bacillati; Bacillota; Bacilli; Caryophanales; Staphylococcaceae. The record is from RNAcentral.